UAGAAGUAGUGUGAGAGGAUGGCCAGGCACCUUGAUGAGUUGGCAAGAUAUGGAAGUUUUCCGCGAAAUGAAAGAGACACACACACACAGAAGAGAGCAUCCCAAUAAUGGGGCCCCCUUCUUUAGUAGCAAAAGCUCCCCGAAGAAAGGGGAGAAGAAAAAGCGGAAAACGUGCGGGGAAAGGUGCCAAAUGAAGAAGAUGCACACCUAGAGGAGCGGUGCCUCUUGCCGCAGGGCUCCA
Non-coding RNA from Caenorhabditis elegans, 241 nucleotides. The record is from Ensembl. Lineage: Eukaryota; Metazoa; Nematoda; Chromadorea; Rhabditida; Rhabditidae.